CCGUGAACUGCCUAGAGGCAGCGGACAGGGCCACAUGAGCCAGCUGGUCGGAUUCAGUUACGCCUGCUUGUAAUGAGUCGGUGCGCGGAUAUUGCUGGGUGCUAAAACGCUCGGUGUACCGUGGUGCUGGCCUUUGCGGGUCGUUGUAGCGUACUUUCGGCCAGCGUAUGGUAGCCGCGAUCAAUUGAUCCAGGUGCCAAGUAUGUGAGUAGGUAGCCGCGGGUGCUCCUUGUGGGUGCUGCUAACGUCGGUGAACACUUGCAUAUUGGACCGACCUGGGUGGAUUGUGGAGCGACUGCAGUGUACGCAUCGUCAGAAGGUGCUUGCUGCUCUGUCGAGUUUGGUCAGUCAGUCGAGUACUGCCCAGCAGUGCUAGAUUGGCUAGGCUGGAUUGCAGGCGGGGUGUGUUAGCGAAUGCGAGGUGCACUGCUGGUCAGCGGCUUGUUGGUCGCCUAUCCGUCCCGUCUUGAAACACGGACCAAGGAGUUGAACAUGUAGGCGAGUCAUUUGGUUGUAAUUGAAACCAAAAGGCGCUGUGAAAGCGAAAUUUGCCAAGAUAUGCUAGUCUACAAGCGGAAUUAGCCAAGAUCUGCUAGUGUUCUUUUCUGAUUGAGUGGUGGGGCAUAGGGGACUCUUCUCACUGUGUUGUGCAAGUGGCGAAGUUUGAGCGUACACGUUCUGACCCGAAAGAUGGUGAGAUAUGUUCGAGCACGAUGAAGCCAGAGGAAACUCUGGUGGAGGUCUGCAGAGAUUUUGACGUGCAAAUCGAUAUUGUGUGUUGAGUAUAGGGGGGAAAGAGUAUUCGAGCCAUAUAGUAGAUGGUUUCCUCUGAAGUUUCUCUCUGGAUAGAUGGCACUCGAGAAGGCAGUUGUACUUCGAUAAAGCGAAUGAUUAGAGUGUUCUGGGUCGAAACGACCUAAACCUAUUCUCAAACUUUAAAUGGGUACGAUCUCGAGCUCACUUAACUGGAGCUUGAGUGUGAAUGUGUGCAGUGCCAAGUGGGCCACUUUUGGUAAGCAGAACUGGCGCUGUGGGAUGAACCAAACGUCUGGUUAAGGUGCCGAACACUGACGCUCAUGAGAAACCAUAAAAGGUGUUGGUUGAUAUAGACAGCAGGACGGUGGCCAUGAAGUCGAAUC
RNAcentral lists this ribosomal RNA (1139 nucleotides) under Stenostomum sphagnetorum. Its description in RNAcentral is "eukaryotic LSU rRNA". It matches the Rfam family "Eukaryotic large subunit ribosomal RNA", at positions 397 to 1268 of the family's 3401-position model. The record is from RNAcentral. Lineage: Eukaryota; Metazoa; Platyhelminthes; Stenostomidae.